This 252-nucleotide ribosomal RNA is filed under the name uncultured prokaryote. Its description in RNAcentral is "partial 16S rRNA". It matches the Rfam family "Bacterial small subunit ribosomal RNA", at positions 525 to 775 of the family's 1533-position model. The record is from RNAcentral.
ACAGAGGGCGCAAGCGUUGUUCGGAUUUAUUGGGCGUAAAGGGCGCGUAGGCGGGCGAGUCAGUCCGAUGUAAAAUCUUCACAGCUCAACUGGAAGGAGCCAUCGGAUACUACUCGUCUUGAGGCCAUUAGAGGUGGACGGAAUUCCUGGUGUAGCGGUGGAAUGCGUAGAUAUCAGGAAGAACACCGAUUGCGAAGGCGGUUCACUGGGAUGGCCCUGACGCUGAGGCGCGAAAGCCAGGGGAGCAAACGG